UGCGGGAUCGUCUAAUGGUAGGACAACAGGCUCUGAACCUGUUUAUCUUGGUCCGAAUCCAAGUCCCGCAGCCA
RNAcentral lists this transfer RNA (74 nucleotides) under Candidatus Daviesbacteria bacterium. RNAcentral's name for it is "tRNA-Gln". It matches the Rfam family "tRNA". Rfam says of the family: Transfer RNA (tRNA) molecules are approximately 80 nucleotides in length. Their secondary structure includes four short double-helical elements and three loops (D, anti-codon, and T loops). Lineage: Bacteria; Candidatus Daviesiibacteriota. The record is from RNAcentral.